Molecule: non-coding RNA, 578 nt
Organism: Hydra vulgaris (swiftwater hydra)
Lineage: Eukaryota; Metazoa; Cnidaria; Hydrozoa; Anthoathecata; Hydridae
Source: RefSeq, a predicted model, not a curated record
UCUCAACUUUUUACAUGUGUUACAUUAGUCUGCGAUAUUCAUCCUGUGACAACGAAAAAAAAUCUGUAUUUAAAACUGUAUCUAUCAUCUGCAUUUAUCAUCUCUUACGCUUGCUUUUCAGGUGGUUCAUUGCAUCCAGUCCAUCUAAAAGAACGGCACCCAGAUGACACAUAUGAAAAGAGGAACAAGUAGGAUAUAAAAAAUAUAAGUAUAACUGAACCUGACAUUUUAAAGAUUAUGUCCAACUAAUGCUGGAAAAUAUCUGUUUAGCUUUUAAACCGAAUCUGCAUGUGGUUGAUAAGAAUAGAGUGACAGGUUAAUUGAAAUGUUGAUAAAAAUCAAUUGGUUGUCCAAUAGAUUUCUUCAACAACAAUAGAUUAAACAAUAGAUUAUAAAAAUUGAUUACCAGUAGACGGGUUAAGGGAACUAAACAAAUAAAUCAAGACAAAAACAUAAACGUUAAAGGAAAUAAAACAAGUUAGUUAUAUGGAAUCUUUCCGUUGACAUACUCAGUUGUCGACUAACAAGAAAUGGAUUGCAUCAAAAAAUUUAAGUUGAAAACUUAAAAUUUUUAUUAA